UUUUAAAAUGUUUAUAAUUUUAUUUAUACAUUUAUAUAAUUUUUUAUUUAACUCAUAAUUUUCGUAUUUCAAUAAUAAAUAAAAUAAAAUAAUUAAAUUAAUGAAUUUAUAAAAAUAAAAUUUAAUAUCUUAUUUUUUUAUAAAUUCAUAUAAAAUUGAGAAGCACGUAUGGUAUAUAUAAUAUACAGAAUACCAAUUGUAAGAAUGGAAUGGUUUCUCAUUUGACUGCAUCGCACUCUUGCACCUGAGAGAACCAGGUUCAAGUCCUAGUCCUACUGUUACAUUUGCACGCCACACCCGCUGAAAGAAUUGGAUUAUCCGAAAAACGGGAAAAUCCCGAGAAAUUCCGAAAACAAGCUCCACACGCCGAAAAGUCCCGAAAAAUGUUCGAUUUCGAGGAUAUAUCGCCGAAUAUCGCACUACAUUUUUCUCCUUUUAUCAAUAACUACAUCACAACACACAAGAUCAUCGAACAAAUCAUUCUACCCACUCAAGAAAAAUUAACAGCUGAUUUUAAUCAGGAUAUAUAUAAACACCCACGGACGCUAACAUCGAUUUCCUUAAGGGUAGAAAAUGUGAAAGCAAAUGCUUCUCUUCAUCUUCUUCUUCAACACCAGAAAAACAAGACUCUGAAAAUUGGAUUUUUAUAAGAGACGUAGUUAUAUACAUAUAUAGAGUAGAAACUUGAACAAUAUUCCGUUCUUCCCUAAAUCAAAAGUUUUCAAAUCCAACUUUGAAAGGAAGCAUGAUCAUAGGCACAUGUACACACAUGGAGUAGAAAUUGAACACAUUAUGUUGUUAAACCUUACCUGGGAUUCUGCGGCUCCAUAGUGGGUUCCAUCUCUGUUGGAGAGUACUCGCCUCUGGUUCUUACUGCUUGGACAAUGGUGCGGCUUCAUUCUACAUAAAGCCGACUUGGUGGGAGAAACAUGCCUUCACCCUACAUAAAACUGGCUUGGUGGGUCUCCUCUACAUACCCACGACUUCGGUCUAUAUAAAGCCGGCUUUGUGGGAGAAACACGGCUUCAUU
RNAcentral lists this long non-coding RNA (1030 nucleotides) under Vitis vinifera (wine grape). RNAcentral describes it as "long non-coding RNA (VVIN_LNC005152)". The record is from RNAcentral. Lineage: Eukaryota; Viridiplantae; Streptophyta; Magnoliopsida; Vitales; Vitaceae.